CCACAUGACUCUCGGCAACGGAUAUCUCGGCUCUCGCAUCGAUGAAGAACGUAGCGAAAUGCGAUACCUGGUGUGAAUUGCAGAAUCCCGCGAACCAUCGAGUCUUUGAACGCAAGUUGCGCCCGAGGCCACUCGGCCGAGGGCACGCCUGCCUGGGCGUCACG
RNAcentral lists this ribosomal RNA (164 nucleotides) under Leymus triticoides. RNAcentral's name for it is "5.8S ribosomal RNA". It matches the Rfam family "5.8S ribosomal RNA". Rfam says of the family: 5.8S ribosomal RNA (5.8S rRNA) is a component of the large subunit of the eukaryotic ribosome. It is transcribed by RNA polymerase I as part of the 45S precursor that also contains 18S and 28S rRNA. RNAcentral also lists the same sequence under 1 other name. The record is from RNAcentral. Lineage: Eukaryota; Viridiplantae; Streptophyta; Magnoliopsida; Poales; Poaceae.